AUUGAACGCUGGCGGCAUGCUUUACACAUGCAAGUCGAACGGACUUAGGGGCUUGCUCCUAGGUUAGUGGCGAACGGGUGAGUAAUGCAUCGGAACGUACCGUGUAGUGGGGGAUAACGCAGCGAAAGUUGUGCUAAUACCGCAUACGAUCUACGGAUGAAAGCAGGGGAUCGCAAGACCUUGUGCUAUACGAGCGGCCGAUGUCGGAUUAGCUAGUUGGUGAGGUAAAGGCUCACCAAGGCGACGAUCCGUAGCGGGUCUGAGAGGAUGAUCCGCCACACUGGGACUGAGACACGGCCCAGACUCCUACGGGAGGCAGCAGUGGGGAAUUUUGGACAAUGGGCGCAAGCCUGAUCCAGCCAUGCCGCGUGAGUGAAGAAGGCCUCGGUUGUAAGACUCUUUUGUUCAGGGAGGCGAAAUACCUGUUUCCUUAACUACGUAAA
RNAcentral lists this ribosomal RNA (443 nucleotides) under uncultured bacterium. Its description in RNAcentral is "bacterial SSU rRNA". It matches the Rfam family "Bacterial small subunit ribosomal RNA", at positions 30 to 469 of the family's 1533-position model. The record is from RNAcentral.